UUCUGAGAAACAGACUCGGAUGGUAAUAGGUUUUAACAGCUUUCUUUUACACCUGCGAAUCUUCCUCCUUGCUAGAACAGUGGUAAGUAGCCCCAGUUGUACUGGAAAAUGCCCUGGAGAGCUUUUGAAAGUGCUGAUACCCAGCCCCACCCUUGGAGAUGCCGCUGUAAUGGGUCCGGGCUGGCAGGCUGGGUGUGCUGUGAGAGUUCUGUGCUUUAAGCACUCUCAGGGUGAUGUGAAAGUGCUGCUGCCUGGGACGCUCCACUGGGCUGGAAGGGCUGCCUCUGGCCACUGGGCAGAAGGGGCUUGUCCUUGGAGGAUGGGGAAGAGGAGGCUGGGAAUGCCUGAGACUGAGCCUGUAAAGGGGCAGGAGGGACUGGGGAGAGGGGAGCCUCCUUCUCUGACACAUCCACCCGGGAGCCUGGCUGCUGCCAGCUGUCUGCCCGAGUUACUGGAGGCAAGAAACCCACUUUCCCAGGGCCUAACUGCAGGCCCCACACGGCUCCGUGGUGGGUGGUGUGGACUGCAGAAAUGUCUGCCUGCAGCGGGGCUCCGCGGCCCACUUCCCGCUCCGCUUCCUCUGUGCCUCCCCUGGUGGGGGAAGACCUACUCUUUGCCCAAAGAGCAGGUGCAGAGAGGCCAGGGCUUGCCACCUGAUGGCCCAGUUGGAAGGAUCUAGCAAACACACACCCAGCGUUGAGGGCAAUGUCCUUUGGACCUGGUCUGGUAUACCCUGUGCCCGUGGGAACAUCAUCCUUGGGCCUGGGGCCUGGGGCCACCCCAAGGAGCAAGGGGGGCCAUGGCAGAGAACCAUUCCUGCACCACUGGGGCUCAGCAGAGGGUCUCUGCUGCCUGGCCUGAGCUGUCCCUCUAGACAUACCCGCGCCUGGCCGGCGAAGCUGCUUGCCCUCUUCUGCCUCCCCACUGGUCCUGAGCCCCCUGCUCCCCUCUAACCCAGGCCCAGACCCUCAGCCCUCAGGACAGACUUAGGUGCAGAGCCGGCUCAGCUGUGCGAUUGUAACCCCUCCCUCUGAGCCUCCAUGUCCUAGUCUGGGAAGUAUUGUGAGGUUUGUAAAAUGCGAGGUGUGGAUGUGGCCCCAGGCUAGCCUGGGAAGAAGUGGGGAUGGGACGUCCUGACCUAGACGUGGAGGCGGAACUCAGCCGCCAGGCGAAUGUUUCCUGUUGGUGUGAACACCAGGGGAGGAGUCAUCCCUAGGUGGAUAUCCCCCCUGCCAGGCCCCAGGAGGCACCUGGAGCUUCCUGGGUGCCCUGUGGGGCCUGGGGGGGCGGGGGCAGGGUGUGUGGUGUGUCGUGCUGGUGGGCCUCGGUGGUGGGCACACAUGGUUCACUCAGCUGUCUCUUGUCUUCUCUAUUUCUUUGGCUUCUCUCCCCGCCCCCCUUGCCCUGCUUUUGCCCGGGGUUUGGCCGCGGGCAGUGCCAACAUACGGCCCUUACGGUAGGUCCCGCUCUUGGUCUGCAUGUCUGUCCUGCAUGUCAGUUCUGGUCACUGUCACUGGCAUGCCUGUCUCUGUAGCUCUUCUCCGUGUCCUCAUCUCCUUCCCACCGGCACCCCUGGGUGGGAGCGCCCAGAGCACCUGCCAAGGGCCACCCUCUGUAGAGCUUGCCUGCUUCUGUCCUGGUCUCUCAUUCUGGAAUAUGCCCCACCCUCUUCUGGGGGCACAGUGCUCUUCAUGGGAUAUCGGGGCAUUUCACGAUGUUUCCAAGAGUUCACAAGCUGAGUCAGGAAUCCUGGGUUCCAGAGGUGGGUUCGUCCCUUACAUCCAGGUGUCCUGGGCCACUUUUCCCCUCUGAGCCCAUGAGGACAGGGACAAUUGAUUAGAGGAGAUGAGGAGGAAGCCCUCUUAGAGGGAGCCAGUGAGUCGCAUCUGCUCCCCUGGGGGUGCAGGCCAGCCUGGUCCUGAUGGGGCCAGCCUCUGGCCCACUCUCCAGAGUGGAGGGAGCACAGCACUUCCCCAGGUUGUGGGGGACGCGCCUGGCGCCUGUGGAACCGGGCACCCCUGGCUUCCAGGCCCUCUGGCCCCACAUGCCCCAACUUCAGUUGGUGCUGAGCCUGCUCUGGCCUCGCUGGGGCAUUCUAGGCUCACUGCCCAUAGCUUGCCAGUCUCCAGCCUGGGUCCCUUCCCCGAAGCUGGCCCAGCUCCCAGUGGGGGUUUAUGUCUUCUCCUCUUCACAGUCGAGCCUCCCCUUGGGGCUCCCCAGCCAAAGAAGUCCAUUUUUUCCUGCCCCUUCUCAUAUCCUGGACCCCAUUCUCUGUCCCAGAAGGGGUGGUUGAAGGGCAUAGCUUUGGGUUGGGGGGGUCUGUCCCAGGAUCACGGGCAGGGGCUGAGCCACCUCCCUCUCACCGUCCCAGCCUCCUCACCUGCCCCUCCCGCCCCCUGCCCGGCAGGCCGCUGUGCCCCCAUGAAGAGCAUCUCCAGCAGCCUCAAGGAGACCAUGAACCCGCACGACAUCGUGCAGGAUGCCAUCCACAACUUCUCACCUGCCUACCAGCAGUACACGCAGCAGUCCACCCUGGAGCCUGGGCCCACCUGGCGUGGUGGCGCCCACGGCCUCUCCCGCUCCCACAGCCUCAGUGGCGCCCGUGACAACGAGAAGACUCUCCUGCUCAGCUCUGACGAUGAAUUCUAGGUGCGGGCUGCGGUGGCGGAAGUGCCGGCGCCGUAGCCGCGGUCAGGCUGUGCCCCACCUCCAGCCUCACCACCAGGCCAGGAGGCAGCUGGCACAGUGCUCACACCGCCUUUAUUUAUUGGACCAGAAACACUCACAUGUCGCUUCCAGAGGAACGGGGGACAGCCAGGCUCGCCCAUGGGCCUUCAGGAAUAUUUAUACAUGGCCCAGCCUGCACUGCCCGGGCGAGGGCAGAGGACACUGGGAGCAAGGCUUAUGCCCCUGCUGCCCGUCCUGUGCUGGGGGCAUGUUGGGACCAGCCGCACCCAGGCCCCAAUGCUUGUGUGUGGACCAGCGGCUGCAGUCUUCUAGCCCCUCCUUCCCGCGAGACUCUCAGGCUGAGGUCGGCAAGCCGUGGCUCCCCCACACACCGUGCAAUACCCUGUCUGACCUGGGCUCUUCCCGCCUGCAUCCCUCCCCUGUCCACCUUUGUCCAGUGCUAGAUUCACCUCACCCCGGGCAGGAGUGGGGAUGUGGGCGCUCUGCAGUCCUCCCCUCCUGACCCCAGGCCUCUGUGGCACGCUGCAAGGAUCAGAGCCAGACACCAGGAGUCACAGGCCCCACCCAGGAAGGGCAUUCAGGGCCCCUGGGCACCACUUCUGUUGAAGCAGGGGUUUCUGGGCCCCUGGGUAUCCCCACCCGUCGUGGCCCCUGCCUCAUGCCCCUUCCCCCUGGCCUACCAAGGACAGCCCACAGCCCGCACUGCCGGCUCACUUGGGUCCUUCCUUGAUAGCUUUGGGCAGAGCCCUUGCUUCCUGGCUGCUCCAGGGCUCAGGGGCUCCCAGCCCUCCUUCCCAGGCUGAUGCUGGGUCCUCUCUCUCUUUGGGGCUUCUCCCUCCCAUUUCAGGGGGAAGGUCUGAGUCUCCACGUUUCAGACCAGCUUCCGGGGAAAGGCAGUCCGGCAGGGAGGCGGGGAGGGGUGGCCACACGGUGGGGAGCUGGGAGGUGGGGGGAAUGGUCCCAGACUCCUCUCGGGGCCCCCAUCCACACAGGGCCUGGUGUUCUGCCCCAUCCGGCCCCUGGCCCAUCUCUUCUGUGCCUUAGUCACAUAUGAAAGCUCCCCUCCCUGGCUCCCCGUCUGUCCCAUAGGCUCCCUGGGGCUCUUAGUUCAGCUGCUGGCACUCGCAGGAUCCUGCGGUGCUGGGCCCAGAGCCCUUGGACAGGCCUCAGGAGUGGUCAGGACCACCAAGCCCCUCCUCUCCCCCUCCACACCUCUAGACCUGGGGCCUCCGGAGCCCUCAGCAGGCUGGGCUUAUACUAGCUCCUGACUUAGGAAGAGCCUCGUGUCACAACACGUGUCCCUACAGGCAAAGUGUCCUGGCAUUUAAAACCCAGAUUAUCCCUGGGUUUGGGCUGCAGUCACCUGGAGAAGCUGGUAGGGUAAGGGAGAGGGACCCUGCCGGUGUUCACUGGGGAUUCUUUCUUUUGGUCCUUCCUGGAAUGAAAAGGUUCCCUCCCUGCCACCUGUGAGGAGAGUCAGGGCCCAGCCACCUUCCUGGCCUCCUUCCCUCGUGCCAGAGGCCUGCAUGUGGGUGCCAGAGGCCAGCUCUCCCCCUCCAUCUUGGGGGGGCCUGACCAGCUGGGCCCAAGCUGCCCGGGAGGGUAGGUGCAGACACAGGCUGAGGACCAGCCCUGGCCCUGCCCCGCCGUCUGCUUUCACCAAGCUGUCUCUCCAACGUGGCUUCCCUUCUCCCUCCAGGCCAAAGUGUGCUGCUGAGUCCCACUCCCUUCGUCUUCGCCUGCCCCAGCGUUGCUGUUUGCGUGGAGGGUGGGGGUGGGGAGAGCUCAGUGGCAGGGAAUCAGCGGUCCCUGGGGUCAUGGGGACGGGAACAUGUGCCCGACCGCUCCAUCCCCUCCUCCUCCUUAGGAUGCAUAACCUACCUUGUCUUUUUUUUUUUUUAAUUUUCUUUCCAGAUAGAGUAGCUCUUUGUACAUAAAGAAUACUUGAAAAAUUAAUUGUAUGAUGUAUGAGAAGACAGAGUCUCCUAGUUUUGUAUCUUGUUGUAUGACUGCCAUGAGUUCCACCAGAAAGCCACUCUAUUUUGGUCUCUGUGACAUUUUAAAUGCGUGACAGAAGUGAGCAAAUAAAGUGAGGAAGAAAUAUAUAUAUGAGAUAA
This 4805-nucleotide small RNA is filed under the name Pongo abelii (Sumatran orangutan). RNAcentral describes it as "retained intron". The record is from RNAcentral. Lineage: Eukaryota; Metazoa; Chordata; Mammalia; Primates; Hominidae.